CAGUAGCCGCGGGAAUACGUAGGUGGCAAGCGUUGUCCGGAAUUAUUGGGCGUAAAGGGCUCGCAGGCGGUUUCUUAAGUCUGAUGUGAAAGCCCCCGGCUCAACCGGGGAGGGUCAUUGGAAACUGGGAAACUUGAGUGCAGAAGAGGAGAGUGGAAUUCCACGUGUAGCGGUGAAAUGCGUAGAGAUGUGGAGGAACACCAGUGGCGAAGGCGACUCUCAGGUCUGUAACUGACGCUGAGGAGCGAAAGCGUGGGGAGCGAACAGGAUUAGAUACCCCCGUAGUCCCUGUCUCUUAUAC
RNAcentral lists this ribosomal RNA (301 nucleotides) under uncultured bacterium. RNAcentral describes it as "partial 16S ribosomal RNA". It matches the Rfam family "Bacterial small subunit ribosomal RNA", at positions 509 to 807 of the family's 1533-position model. The record is from RNAcentral.